This is a long non-coding RNA of Strongylocentrotus purpuratus (purple sea urchin), 637 nucleotides long. RefSeq lists it as uncharacterized. The transcript has 3 exons. NCBI's taxonomy places the organism in Eukaryota, Metazoa, Echinodermata, Echinoidea, Camarodonta, Strongylocentrotidae. The record is from RefSeq and is a predicted model, not a curated record.
UUAUGAUUGUGACAGGUCGAAAUGUUUCCUAAUUCUAUUUGUUGAGGAGGUCCCUGAAUGAAGGGAUCCAUGUCUCUGAAUAAGGAGAUCCCUUUAAGUGUACUUCUGAGGUGGUCCCUAAAAGGGGAAGUUCACUUUGACCUUAAGUCUGAGAGGGGUGAUAUGGGGUGAUUUGGAGAGAAGAAUAGAUUUUUUGCCACAUCAUAGGGGAAGUGCACUUUGACCUUGAGUCAGAGAGGGUAUAGGGUAAUGAGAGAAAGGAUAUUUUGCCAGAUCACAGAUUGAGAGGGAUGAGCAUAGACCAUGCAUCCACUCAGGACUUAGGACGUUGAAUUUGACAGAGAAGCUAACUCUGAGUAGAACUUCAUACUUAAUAGUAUUUCUGCAGCAUCUAUGAGGUCUUACUUCAUCACUUGGUUGGAGAUGGCAGUUAGUUGGAGAUGGUGCACUAUCUACAUGUAGUUGGUCUAAUUCUAGUCUCGUUGUCUCGUUAGGAGUCUCUCCUCGAGAGCUCAAGAGGGGGUUGAUCCAUCCUCAAAAUAAAUACCACCUACAACUCUAAAUGACUUCGUCGAGUGUCAUAUGUGCCUGCUGUUACAUGAUUAUCAUUAUUAUUAUUAUUAGUAGUAGUAGUAGU